Molecule: ribosomal RNA, 278 nt
Filed under: uncultured bacterium
Lineage: Bacteria
Description: partial 16S ribosomal RNA
Rfam family: Bacterial small subunit ribosomal RNA
Source: RNAcentral
CUUUCUCCGCCGGCGACCGGCGCACGGGUGAGUAACACGUAUGCAACCUGCCCCCUGUCGGGGGGGACAACCCGCCGAAAGGCGGGCUAAACCCGCGUACAUGCCACCGGGGCAUCCCGGAGGCAGGAAAGGCUUCGGCCGGACAGGGAUGGGCAUGCGGCGCAUUAGGCAGUAGGCGGGGUAACGGCCCACCUAACCGACGAUGCGUAGGGGUUCUGAGAGGAAGGUCCCCCACACUGGUACUGAGACACGGACCAGACUCCUACGGAAGGCAGCAG